AUUAUAUAUACUUUACCUGCCAAUACAGGUAGCAGCGACCGUGACAGCAGCAGCAGCUCUACAAACACAUUGUCAGGUGUCGGAAAAUACGUACAAACCGGCAAGUGAGCCAAUCAACACAAUGGUCCUAGUUAUAGCUUUUGUUAUUCUGUCAUUAACGUGCUAUACAAUAGCACUUAAUCCAAGAUGUCUGGAACUAAGAGACGUGGGGAACUACAUGUCCAACAAUCCAUCCUGGUACUUCGACUCUGAAGCAAAAGUGUGUAGAUAUAUCCGGUUUGGAGGUCCUUCACAAUCCGGAAACCACUUCACAUCACUUGAGGAGUGCCAGAGAGAAUGUGAAGCACCAAACAAUGAGAUGAUCUGGCCUUGGUAACGAUGAAAACUACAGUAUUUGAAAAUAAAGCUAUGUUCAUAUCACUUUU
This is a long non-coding RNA of Mizuhopecten yessoensis (Yesso scallop), 425 nucleotides long. RefSeq lists it as uncharacterized. The transcript has 3 exons. Lineage: Eukaryota; Metazoa; Mollusca; Bivalvia; Pectinida; Pectinidae. The record is from RefSeq and is a predicted model, not a curated record.